UGGGGAAUAUUGGACAAUGGGCGCAAGCCUGAUCCAGCAAUGCCGCGUGUGUGAAGAAGGUCUUCGGAUUGUAAAGCACUUUCGGCGGGGACGAUGAUGACGGUACCCGCAGAAGAAGCCCCGGCUAACUUCGUGCCAGCAGCCGCGGUAAUACGAAGGGGGCUAGCGUUGCUCGGAAUUACUGGGCGUAAAGGGCGCGUAGGCGGCGCUGCAAGUCAGGCGUGAAAUUCCUGGGCUUAACCUGGGGGCUGCGCUUGAGACUGUGGUGCUAGAGGAUGGAAGAGGGUCGUGGAAUUCCCAGUGUAGAGGUGAAAUUCGUAGAUAUUGGGAAGAACACCGGUGGCGAAGGCGGCGACCUGGUCCAUUACUGACGCUGAGGCGCGACAGCGUGGGGAGCAAA
RNAcentral lists this ribosomal RNA (400 nucleotides) under uncultured bacterium. Its description in RNAcentral is "bacterial SSU rRNA". It matches the Rfam family "Bacterial small subunit ribosomal RNA", at positions 355 to 772 of the family's 1533-position model. The record is from RNAcentral.